GAUGAAGAACGCAGCGAAACGCGAUAUGUAAUGUGAAUUGCAGAAUUCAGUGAAUCAUCGAAUCUUUGAACGCACAUGGCGCCUUCCAGUAUCCUGGGAGGCAUGUCUGUCCGAGCGUCGUUUCAACCCUCGAGCCCCCGUGGCCCGGCGUUGGGGAUCUGCCCAGGCAGUCCCCGAAAACCAGUGGCGGACCCGUUACAGGCCCUUCCCUUGCGUAGUAGCAUUCGCCUCGCAUCGGGAGCCGGCGGGCUUCCAGCCUCUAAACCCCCAUCAAGUCCGCCCCGGCGGCACCAAGGUUGACCUCGGAUCAGGUAGGAAUACCCGCUGAACUUAAGCAUAUCAAUAAGCGGAGGA
Molecule: unclassified non-coding RNA, 354 nt
Filed under: soil metagenome
Description: partial contains 5.8S ribosomal RNA, internal transcribed spacer 2, and large subunit ribosomal RNA
Rfam family: 5.8S ribosomal RNA (bases 1-120)
Source: RNAcentral